This 301-nucleotide ribosomal RNA is filed under the name uncultured bacterium. RNAcentral describes it as "partial 16S ribosomal RNA". It matches the Rfam family "Bacterial small subunit ribosomal RNA", at positions 509 to 808 of the family's 1533-position model. The record is from RNAcentral.
CAGUAGCCACGGUAAUACGUAGGUCCCGAGCGUUGUCCGGAUUUAUUGGGCGUAAAGCGAGCGCAGGCGGUUAGAUAAGUCUGAAGUUAAAGGCUGUGGCUUAACCAUAGUAUGCUUUGGAAACUGUUUAACUUGAGUGCAGAAGGGGAGAGUGGAAUUCCAUGUGUAGCGGUGAAAUGCGUAGAUAUAUGGAGGAACACCGGUGGCGAAAGCGGCUCUCUGGUCUGUAACUGACGCUGAGGCUCGAAAGCGUGGGGAGCAAACAGGAUUAGAGACCCCGGUAGUCCCUGUCUCUUAUACA